GCACUUGAUUUAGCAGCACAUAUACUAAAAUUGCAACAGUAAAGAGAAGAUUAGUGUGGCCCCCGCACAAGAAGGAUGACACCCAAAUCCGCGAAGUGUUCCAUAUUUUC
This is a non-coding RNA of Fukomys damarensis (Damara mole-rat), 110 nucleotides long. The record is from Rfam. Lineage: Eukaryota; Metazoa; Chordata; Mammalia; Rodentia; Bathyergidae.